Molecule: non-coding RNA, 83 nt
Organism: Pundamilia nyererei
Lineage: Eukaryota; Metazoa; Chordata; Actinopteri; Cichliformes; Cichlidae
Source: the annotation of a RefSeq genome assembly
ACCAGGAUGGCCGAGUGGUGAAGGUGUUGGACUUAAAAUCCAAUGGACAUUUGUCCAUGUGGGUUCAAACCCCACUCCUGGUA